CUGAUGCAGCGACGCCGCGUGAGGGAUGACGGCCUUCGGGUUGUAAACCUCUUUCAGCAGGGAAGAAGCGAAAGUGACGGUACCUGCAGAAGAAGCGCCGGCUAACUACGUGCCAGCAGCCGCGGUAAUACGUAGGGCGCAAGCGUUGUCCGGAAUUAUUGGGCGUAAAGAGCUCGUAGGCGGCUUGUCACGUCGGUUGUGAAAGCCCGGGGCUUAACCCCGGGUCUGCAGUCGAUACGGGCAGGCUAGAGUUCGGUAGGGGAGAUCGGAAUUCCUGGUGUAGCGGUGAAAUGCGCAGAUAUCAGGAGGAACACCGGUGGCGAAGGCGGAUCUCUGGGCCGAUACUGACGCUGAGGAGCGAAAGCGUGGGGAGCGAACA
RNAcentral lists this ribosomal RNA (379 nucleotides) under Kocuria sp. RNAcentral's name for it is "bacterial SSU rRNA". It matches the Rfam family "Bacterial small subunit ribosomal RNA", at positions 383 to 774 of the family's 1533-position model. The record is from RNAcentral. Lineage: Bacteria; Bacillati; Actinomycetota; Actinomycetes; Micrococcales; Micrococcaceae.